Astyanax mexicanus (Mexican tetra) is the source of this 114-nucleotide regulatory RNA element. It matches the Rfam family "Potassium channel RNA editing signal". From Rfam's summary of the family: This family represents a group of sequences related to the human potassium channel Kv1.1 hairpin element which directs the efficient modification of an adenosine to inosine by an adenosine deaminase acting on RNA (ADAR). The ADAR modification causes an isoleucine/valine recoding event which lies in the ion-conducting pore of the potassium channel. It is thought that this editing event targets the process of fast inactivation and allows a more rapid recovery from inactivation at negative potentials. The record is from Rfam. Lineage: Eukaryota; Metazoa; Chordata; Actinopteri; Characiformes; Acestrorhamphidae.
GUUGGCUACGGAGACAUGGUACCAACUACAAUUGGUGGGAAGAUUGUCGGUUCUCUCUGUGCCAUCGCUGGUGUGCUGACCAUUGCCUUGCCUGUUCCUGUUAUUGUCUCAAAU